Molecule: small RNA, 535 nt
Filed under: Pongo abelii (Sumatran orangutan)
Lineage: Eukaryota; Metazoa; Chordata; Mammalia; Primates; Hominidae
Description: retained intron
Source: RNAcentral
AGGAACGUAUGAAACCUUUUUUCUACAAAUAUUGAGAUUUCAGAAAAAUAGCUAAAUAAGAUAAAUGUUUUAAAUAUGUUUUUGAUAACAAGAAUUAAUAAAGUCACUGGUACAGUUUUGCAGUGUGCCAACCCACAUUUUGUUUUCUUAGGUGUGUUUCCAUUGUAGAAAACCUGGUCAUGGAAUUGCAGAUUGCCCUGCUGCCCUUGAAAAUCAAGACAUGGGCACUGGGAUAUGUUACAGGUGUGGGUCCACAGAGCACGAAAUAACCAAGUGUAAGGCUAAAGUAGACCCGGCUCUUGGCGAAUUUCCUUUUGCAAAAUGUUUUGUUUGUGGAGAAAUGGGGCACCUGUCUAGAUCUUGUCCUGAUAAUCCCAAAGGACUCUAUGCUGAUGGUGGUGGUUGCAAACUUUGUGGCUCUGUGGAACAUUUAAAGAAAGACUGCCCUGAAAGUCAGAAUUCAGAGCGAAUGGUCACAGUUGGUCGCUGGGCAAAGGGAAUGAGUGCAGACUAUGAAGAAAUUUUGGAUGCACCU